UGGGGAAUAUUGGACAAUGGGCGAAAGCCUGAUCCAGCGACGCCGCGUGUGUGAAGAAGGCCUGCGGGUUGUAAAGCACUUUCGAUGGGAACGAAAUGUGUCGGGCUAAUACCCCGGCAAGCUGACGUUACUCAAUGAAGAAGCACCGGCUAACUCUGUGCCAGCAGCCGCGGUAAUACAGAGGGUGCGAGCGUUAAUCGGAAUUACUGGGCGUAAAGCGCACGUAGGUGGCGACGUAAGUCGGGUGUGAAAGCCCCGGGCUCAACCUGGGAAUUGCAUUCGAGACUGCAUCGCUGGAGUACGGAAGAGGAGGGCGGAAUUCCCGGUGUAGCGGUGAGAUGCGUAGAUAUCGGGAGGAACAUCAGUGGCGAAGGCGGCCCUCUGGUCCAGUACUGACGCUGAGGCGCGAAAGCGUGGGGAGCAAA
RNAcentral lists this ribosomal RNA (425 nucleotides) under uncultured bacterium. RNAcentral's name for it is "bacterial SSU rRNA". It matches the Rfam family "Bacterial small subunit ribosomal RNA", at positions 355 to 772 of the family's 1533-position model. The record is from RNAcentral.